UUUAAUGUGGACACAGGCAUCACCUGGGGUCUUGUUAAGAUGCAGCUUCUUCUCCAGUCAGUCUGGGCUGGGGCCUGAGAGUCUGCAUGUCUAAGCUCUCAGGGGACACUGAUGCUGCUGGUCCAGGGGUUGUGUUUGAGCAGUGACGGCUCAGAAGACGCCACAUUCAGAGGUGGCGGGACCUGUUUCCCUCCUGGCUUUCUUUCCUUAUCAAACCGUUGGUCCUCAACUUUGGCUGCACAUGAGAAUCGUCGGGGGACAUUUAAAAAAUCCUGAUGCCCACUUGGGUCCCAUCCCCAGAGAUGUGAUGUAAUUGCUGUGGGUGUGGCUGGUGUUAGGAUUUUCCAAAGGUCUCCAGUGAUUCUGAUGUGUGGCCUAUUCUGAGAACCAGAGCACUAAAGAAAAGAAGAGAUUUAAGAGACAUUUCAAAGGCGAAAUCAAGAGAGGAGGCCCGCCUGUGGUUUUUUUUUUGGAAAAAUAAAGUGAGUGAUUAUAUAUGAGAGGUCUCCAGAGAAACAGAAGCAAUGUGACACACACACAACGCACACACAGACACACACAGGCACACGCACACAUAUGUGUGUGUGUGUUUGCACCAUAGGAGUGGUACCUGGCAAAUCUGAAAUCCACAAGGGAGGCCAGGCAAGCCGGAGACUCGAGCAGAACUUCUAUAUUGUGGGAUUGAGGUAGAAUUGCUUCUUCUCCAGAAAACUCAGUCUUUGCUCUUAAUGCCUUCAGCUGGUGGGGUGAGGCCCACCUUCCCCCUCUUAUGGAGGGUAAUCAGCUCUACCCAAAGUCUACUGAUUUAAAUGUUAACCUCAUCUAAAUAAUACCUUCCCCACGACAUUUACAGCAGUGUUUGACCAAACAGCUGGGCACCAUAGCCUAGCCAAGGUGACACACAAAAUGAACCAUCACAGGUGACUUCAAGGUCAAAUGUCUAUGGGAAUGUGAAUAAAAAUAGGAAUGAUUGGUGGGGAAGUGGGUUUGGGGACAAUGUGAGUGAGUCUGAUAGGCCAGGUCCAGGGCCCCUUUUUGAAGACCUUUGCCAAUACCUGACUCCGGCCCACUGUGGUAGUUGGUUCGAGCUGCUGUAACAAAGUGCUGUGAACUGUGAGGCUGAAACACAAUGGAAACUUCUUGUCCCACAGUUCUGGAGGCUGGAAGUCUGAGAUACGGCCCUGGUGGGGCUGGUUCCUUCUGGGGGCUGUUAGGGAGAACUUACCAUUCCUCCCCAGGCUGCUGGUUCUUGCUGGAGCUCUUUGACGUUUCCAACCUGGCAGAUCCAUCGCUCCAGCCUCUGCCGUCAUCUUCCUGUGGCCUUCUCCCCCUCUGUCUCUGCCUUCACCUGGUGUUUCUCUCCUCGUAUAAGGACACCAGUCACGUUGGGUUAGGCCCACCUUAAUGACCUCAUCUUGGCUUGAUUACAUCUACAAAGACCCUAUUUAAGAACAUACAGAUGCCAGGGGUUAGGACUUCAUCAUAUCUUUUGGGGGGACUCGAUUCAGCCCACAACACCCACCCAUUUCUGAACACCCCUCUUUCCAGACACUCUCCCUUUCUCUGAGUCCCAUCUAAUCUCCCACUUCAAGCCCCCACACACUGCCUCAGAGCCCGACUGCAAAGGUGAGGCUUGGAGAAGGAAUGAGAGGGGUCUCUUUUAAACAUUAGUUGCUUUAAAAAAAAAAAGUUUAACUUGUAUGCUUUGUUUUUCAGACCCUAUCAAAAUAAUCUCGUGUCAAAAUGGAAGCAUGAGAGGGACCACUUCUAAGGGUUUCCUCAGCCCACAGGAUCAGGACAGAGGCAGGGCACAGGCCAGGAGAAGCCCUGUCAGCCAGGGCUCUACAUUGCUCUACAGUAAUGAGGCCUUGAACCCUGUUCCCUGGGGACGGACAGUGACCACCCAACCAGAAUGUCCAAGGAUUUCACCACUGGCUGGAGGAUGGUGUAAUGACACCUAAGAAUUGUAAUCACUUGACAUUUUAAGGAGGAAGAACAGAAAGUUUCGUACAUCAUAUUUGUAGAUGCUCACAUAUUCCGAUGGGCUUUUGGCUUUCUCCAAAAAGCACAUUUCCACCGAGAGUCCCACUUCCUGGGCACUGCUGCACACCGCAGGCCAAUACUCAUCUUCCACAUUCAUUCCCACAUUCACCACGUGUGGUUCUGGGUGUUGGGGACACAGUGGGUAGACGUGGUCUCCAGCCUCAUGGCCCAGGUAUGAUGAGGCCAACAGAUCAGCGGCCGAGCACCAUUGAAAAGACAGUUCGUUACUCACAGCUCCCAAGGAGAGGGGCACACUCUGCCACCCAGGCCAGCCAGGGGAGAACCAGGGCUGGUCAGCAGGCAGAGGGAGGGUCAGGAGAGCGUGGGCAAGACCUUGAAUGUGGUUUCCACGAGAAGCAUCAACGGGA
Molecule: long non-coding RNA, 2411 nt
Filed under: Homo sapiens (human)
Lineage: Eukaryota; Metazoa; Chordata; Mammalia; Primates; Hominidae
Description: HSALNT0205877
Source: RNAcentral